Molecule: ribosomal RNA, 388 nt
Filed under: uncultured bacterium
Lineage: Bacteria
Description: bacterial SSU rRNA
Rfam family: Bacterial small subunit ribosomal RNA
Source: RNAcentral
GGCGAACGCUGGCGGCGUGCUUAACACAUGCAAGUCGAGCGGUAAGGCCCUUUCGGGGGUACACGAGCGGCGAACGGGUGAGUAACACGUGGGUGACCUGCCCUCAGCUCUGGGAUAAGCCUGGGAAACUGGGUCUAAUACCGGAUAUGACUCCAUGACGCAUGUCGUGGGGUGGAAAGCCUUGUGCGGCUGGGGAUGGGCCCGCGGCCUAUCAGCUUGUUGGUGGGGUGAUGGCCUACCAAGGCGACGACGGGUAGCCGGCCUGAGAGGGCGACCGGCCACACUGGGACUGAGACACGGCCCAGACUCCUACGGGAGGCAGCAGUGGGGAAUCUUGCGCAAUGGGCGAAAGCCUGACGCAGCGACGCCGCGUGAGGGAUGACGGCCU